This 464-nucleotide ribosomal RNA is filed under the name uncultured bacterium. RNAcentral's name for it is "partial 16S ribosomal RNA". It matches the Rfam family "Bacterial small subunit ribosomal RNA", at positions 339 to 795 of the family's 1533-position model. The record is from RNAcentral.
CUACGGGCCGCUGCAGUGAGGAAUAUUGCGCAAUGGGGGAAACCCUGACGCAGCGACGCCGCGUGGAUGAUGAAGGCCUUCGGGUUGUAAAAUCCUGUCAGAUGGGAAGGACUGUUACAUGUCUAAUAUAUGUGUAACCUGACGGUACCAUCAAAGGAAGCACCGGAUAACUCCGUGCCAGCAGCCGCGGUAAUACGGAGGGUGCAAGCGUUGUUCGGAAUUACUGGGCGUAAAGCGCGCGUAGGCGGCUAUGUAAGUCAGAUGUGAAAGCCCAUGGCUUAACCAUGGACGUGCAUUUGAUACUGCAUGGCUUGAGUACUGGAGGGGGUGGUGGAAUUCCCGGUGUAGAGGUGAAAUUCGUAGAUAUCGGGAGGAAUACCGGUGGCGAAGGCGACCACCUGGCCAGAUACUGACGCUGAGGUGCGAAAGCGUGGGGAGCAAACAGGAUAGAUACCCCAGUAGUC